GAUGAACGCUGGCGGCGUGCCUAAUACAUGCAAGUCGAGCGAACAGACGAGGAGCUUGCUCCUCUGACGUUAGCGGCGGACGGGUGAGUAACACGUGGAUAACCUACCUAUAAGACUGGGAUAACUUCGGGAAACCGGAGCUAAUACCGGAUAAUAUAUUGAACCGCAUGGUUCAAUAGUGAAAGACGGUUUUGCUGUCACUUAUAGAUGGAUCCGCGCCGCAUUAGCUAGUUGGUAAGGUAACGGCUUACCAAGGCAACGAUGCGUAGCCGACCUGAGAGGGUGAUCGGGCAAACUGGAACUGAGACACUGUUCAGGAUCCUACGGGGAGCAGCAGUGGGGAAUCUUCCCCAAGGGGGGAAAGCCUGACGGAGCAAACCCGCCGGAAUGAUGAAGGUCUUCGGAUCGUAAAACUCUGUUAUUAGGGAAGAACAAAUGUGUAAGUAACUAUGCACGUCUUGACGGUACCUAAUCAGAAAGCCACGGCUAACUACGUG
RNAcentral lists this ribosomal RNA (497 nucleotides) under uncultured bacterium. RNAcentral's name for it is "partial 16S ribosomal RNA". It matches the Rfam family "Bacterial small subunit ribosomal RNA", at positions 28 to 507 of the family's 1533-position model. The record is from RNAcentral.